RNAcentral lists this ribosomal RNA (494 nucleotides) under uncultured bacterium. RNAcentral's name for it is "partial 16S ribosomal RNA". It matches the Rfam family "Bacterial small subunit ribosomal RNA", at positions 31 to 507 of the family's 1533-position model. The record is from RNAcentral.
GAACGCUGGCGGCGUGCCUAAUACAUGCAAGUUGAGCGAUGAAGAUUGGUGCUUGCACCAAUUUGAAGAGCAGCGAACGGGUGAGUAACGCGUGGGGAAUCUGCCUUUGAGCGGGGGACAACAUUUGGAAACGAAUGCUAAUACCGCAUAACAACUUUAAACAUAAGUUUUAAGUUUGAAAGAUGCAAUUGCAUCACUCAAAGAUGAUCCCGCGUUGUAUUAGCUAGUUGGUGAGGUAAAGGCUCACCAAGGCGAUGAUACAUAGCCGACCUGAGAGGGUGAUCGGCCACAUUGGGACUGAGACACGGCCCAAACUCCUACGGGAGGCAGCAGUAGGGAAUCUUCGGCAAUGGACGAAAGUCUGACCGAGCAACGCCGCGUGAGUGAAGAAGGUUUUCGGAUCGUAAAACUCGGUUGGUAGAGAAGAACGUUGGUGAGAGUGGAAAGCUCAUCAAGUGACGGUAACUACCCAGAAAGGGACGGCUAACUACGUG